Molecule: non-coding RNA, 21 nt
Filed under: Arabidopsis thaliana (thale cress)
Lineage: Eukaryota; Viridiplantae; Streptophyta; Magnoliopsida; Brassicales; Brassicaceae
Source: RNAcentral
UCGCGUGGUGUCCGGUGCGCC